AGCUCCAAUAGCGUAUAUUAAUGUUGUUGCAGUUAAAAAGCUCGUAGUUGGAUUUCUGACAGGAGCGACCGGUCCGAGCCUCUGGUUCGAGUACUUAGUGUUGUCUCUAGUCAUCCUUAUGGAGAAUGUGUCUUUCAUUAAUUUGUUGGGCAUGGGAUCCAUAUCGUUUACUGUGAAAAAAUUAGAGUGUUUAAAGCAGGCAAUCGCUGUGAAUACAUUAGCAUGGAAUAAUAAGAUAGGACUUUGGUACUAUUUUGUUGGUUUGCAUACCAAGGUAAUGAUUAAGAGGGACAGUUGGGGGUAUUCGUAUUUAAUUGUCAGAGGUGAAAUUCUUGGAUUUAUGAAAGACGAACUACUGCGAAAGCAUUUACCAAGGAUGUUUUCAUUAAUCAAGAACGAA
Molecule: ribosomal RNA, 400 nt
Filed under: phytoplankton environmental sample
Lineage: Eukaryota
Description: partial small subunit ribosomal RNA
Rfam family: Eukaryotic small subunit ribosomal RNA
Source: RNAcentral